This 237-nucleotide long non-coding RNA is filed under the name Mytilus galloprovincialis (Mediterranean mussel). The record is from RNAcentral. Lineage: Eukaryota; Metazoa; Mollusca; Bivalvia; Mytilida; Mytilidae.
CAUAUAUCCAAAUUAUUACAAAUAAGCUAAGUUACAAUAUUUAUAUUUUUCUGUGUUUCGUUUCAAUCAGACAUUUAACAAAAUUGAUAAAUGGUUUCAUUUGUGUAGUGCAAAUUCUAAAGGGGCACAUAAUUUAAAGUAUAAGCAUAUUUUAAUGCUGAAAAGAUAAGAAUGGCUAAAAGAAUUACAGAACAAAGAAAGAAAUGCAACCCCCCCUCCUUUACCCCUCGUUGCUCC